This is a long non-coding RNA of Cavia porcellus (domestic guinea pig), 2681 nucleotides long. RefSeq lists it as uncharacterized. Lineage: Eukaryota; Metazoa; Chordata; Mammalia; Rodentia; Caviidae. The record is from RefSeq and is a predicted model, not a curated record. The transcript is spliced from 2 exons.
UCGCCUGCGGCAGGGGCAGAGGGGACGUCCGAGAGUGCUCUGCUGUCCCUGUGGGUGUCUGGAAUCCUGCCAUUUCCCCUCACCCCCCCCCCUGUCUUUGCCCUGCGCCCGGGCCCCCCAGGGCUGUGUCUGGAGCAGCCACAUUUUCCAAACUGAAAGGAGACUUGUGUCUAGUGACAGGAGGGUCAUUAACAGACCCUGCCUGGGAAGGAAGACCCGGAAGGGUAGUGACUUCCUUGGGGGCCAGAGGUGAAAGGCGCCCAGCAUCCACAGGACAGACCCUCGGGUUAGCACCUUGCUGUGGCCCCCCUGCCAGUGUGGGUCUGCCCUCAACCAGGAUCUGACUUCUGAUCUCUGUGGGGGUGGGGACUGAAUAAUGAUGAGGGACUCACUUCCCAGCCCUGUGCCACAGCAGUGGCAGUGGUGAUAACCACAGUCACUGCAGUGCAUUGUGUCAGGUGCUGAGCUAAGUAAGCACCUCCUGAGCAUCCUUCCCUCUCAUCUUCUCAACAAACUUCUUCUUCUUGUCCCCCCCUCCCCCGCCCCCACUUUGGUCUUUUAAGGCAGGGUUUGCUAUGCAAUUCAGCCUGGGCUUGAGCUCACUUUGUAGCUAGAGCUGGCCUGGAAUUCACAGCAGCCCCCCCCCCCCCCCUCAGUCUCCCAAGUGCUGGGAGGACAGGCAUGUGCCACCGCACCUGGCUCUUUCAACAACCUUCUGAACCCGGCUGGGCCGGUGACUGAGGGCCCAGGGGACUUAAAUGUCUCCUGCAAGGCAGCAGAGCUACCGUAGUCAGUGGCCGAGUGGCUGCCCUAGAACCCCUACUCUCAGGUGGGAGGCUUGCUCCGGGCCAGUCUCCUUCCGGGAAUGCAUCCCCAGGUCUCUCCCUGGUCUGCUCUGAUCCCACCAACUCCCACACCUCUCACCAGUGUGGUCUCUCCAGGCACCAUCAGGGGCGCCUGUGGGAAGCCACCUGAGAUGGCGCCCAUUUCCUGCUUCCGGGUUCUUCCCGGCCUGAACAAGCCCGCCAAAUUGUCAUAUCUGCCCAGUUACCCGUGACGCUAGCCUAUCAGCUUGUUAGGCGCGCUUCUCUGUGAUUGGAUACUGCUUCCCCUUAUAAGAGGUUGUUCCUGCCCCCAACGGCGGAAGAGGAAUCAACACCGAGGGUGGCGGACCUUGUCAGGUCCGGUUCGCUGUACGUAAUAAAGUUUGAGAGCUGAUCCUGCUCGAGUUUGGUCUCCUGUCUCCCGCGGCUCCGGUCAUCUGGUGGCCGCCCGUACGGGGAAAAAGGUAAAAGACUCAGCGACGUGCCUCUUCGGCCGGGAGGUGCGAUUGCUGUCGCCUGCGGUACGACGGAGGACCUGGCUCAAUAACAACGGAAGGCCGCGAGCGCCUCUUCUCUUCACCCUGAUCAGCUACGUGAGAUACAGCGGUUCCCGGGACAGGAACCAGGCUGCGAACCGCUGUGGGUCCCGGAAAGAUUGACGCGAGCAGUAAACUCCCCACCAGUUCCUGAUAAAGCACAGGAAGAUAAGCCCGCGGACACAAGUCAACUCGACCCUUCUGGGACCGACGCUCAGCGCCCAAGACCAUCUACAAACUAAAAUGUCUGGUUUGGAGCUUUUUCUAUUCUGUGGGUUCCUAUUAAUCACCCCUGUGAUAUGCUCAGAUUCCACAGAACCACCACAAUAUCUUUGGGGUCCUUGGCACUACCCGCCCACAUUGGCACCUUUUUCGGCGGCCUCGCCCGCCUCACCCAGGGUUUACACCAUCAAUCAAACAGUCCUUGAUUAUGCUAAUUGCCAUGGCUAUCCUAGUAGAGCUUGUGGUUAUUAAAUGCUUGUUAGAUCGCCUCAUACAAACUCAGCAGCAGGUUAAGAUCACAGCUAUGGCAGCCAUGCAAAUGGCAGCAGGUGGCCCAUCAGGCCAGCAGGCCGCCGCAUAUCUCCUUCACAUUGCAGAACAUCAGCUAUAAGAGCUGAGUGGGCAAGCCAAUGACGGGUAAGACGGGAAAAGCCCUCCCAGUCAACCUAAGACAGGCUCCACUCAGAUAUAUAUGGCCUAUAAGGCCAGGGGUCCCUCCUGGAGCCAAAUUAUUGGCAUUGAGAUGCGAGACCAAGGGUACUGCAGUGCCAUCCGCCCCAAAGGUUGGGGGGAAGGCAGGAAUGAAUGUCUAUAUGCAUCCAGGUUCAGUUCACAAAAGCCUGGCCCUGCGAAAAAAUGAACCACUCACCUUGAGCAUGGUCCUGGCGCAAGGAUAUGCACAAAACAGGGUGAUGCACAGCAGGGUAUAGACCUCUACAUUCUCUCAUGCCUCGGCCUACAAGGUAGGCCCACUCCUAGGUGUCUAACAGCAACAAGGUCAUAGACACCUUGGAGGGACCCACAGACCAUCCUAUUUUAAUAAAUAAAAAAGGGGGAGAUGUGGGAAGCCACCUGAGAUGGCGCCCAUUUCCUGCUUCCGGGUUCUUCCCGGCCUGAACAAGCCCGCCAAAUUGUCAUAUCUGCCCAGUUACCCGUGACGCUAGCCUAUCAGCUUGUUAGGCGCGCUUCUCUGUGAUUGGAUACUGCUUCCCCUUAUAAGAGGUUGUUCCUGCCCCCAACGGCGGAAGAGGAAUCAACACCGAGGGUGGCGGACCUUGUCAGGUCCGGUUCGCUGUACGUAAUAAAGUUUGAGAGCUGA